UACGGAGGGUGCAAGCGUUAUCCGGAUUCACUGGGUUUAAAGGGUGCGUAGGUGGGUCUGUAAGUCAGUGGUGAAAUCCCCGAGCUUAACUUGGGAACUGCCGUUGAUACUAUAGAUCUUGAAUAUCGUGGAGGUAAGCGGAAUAUGUCAUGUAGCGGUGAAAUGCUUAGAUAUGACAUAGAACACCAAUUGCGAAGGCAGCUUACUACACGAUCAUUGACACUGAGGCACGAAAGCGUGGGGAGCGAACGGG
Molecule: ribosomal RNA, 253 nt
Filed under: uncultured bacterium
Lineage: Bacteria
Description: partial 16S ribosomal RNA
Rfam family: Bacterial small subunit ribosomal RNA
Source: RNAcentral